This 612-nucleotide ribosomal RNA is filed under the name uncultured Lachnospiraceae bacterium. RNAcentral describes it as "bacterial SSU rRNA". It matches the Rfam family "Bacterial small subunit ribosomal RNA", at positions 30 to 640 of the family's 1533-position model. The record is from RNAcentral. Lineage: Bacteria; Bacillati; Bacillota; Clostridia; Lachnospirales; Lachnospiraceae.
UGAACGCUGGCGGCGUGCUUAACACAUGCAAGUCGAACGAAACACCUUAUUUGAUUUUCUUCGGAACUGAAGAUUUGGUGAUUGAGUGGCGGACGGGUGAGUAACGCGUGGGUAACCUGCCCUGUACAGGGGGAUAACAGUCAGAAAUGACUGCUAAUACCGCAUAAGACCACAGCACCGCAUGGUGCAGGGGUAAAAACUCCGGUGGUACAGGAUGGACCCGCGUCUGAUUAGCUGGUUGGUGAGGUAACGGCUCACCAAGGCGACGAUCAGUAGCCGGCUUGAGAGAGUGAACGGCCACAUUGGGACUGAGACACGGCCCAAACUCCUACGGGAGGCAGCAGUGGGGAAUAUUGCACAAUGGGGGAAACCCUGAUGCAGCGACGCCGCGUGAGUGAAGAAGUAUCUCGGUAUGUAAAGCUCUAUCAGCAGGGAAGAAAAUGACGGUACCUGACUAAGAAGCCCCGGCUAACUACGUGCCAGCAGCCGCGGUAAUACGUAGGGGGCAAGCGUUAUCCGGAAUUGCUGGGUGUAAAGGGUGCGUAGGUGGUAUGGCAAGUCAGAAGUGAAAACCCAGGGCUUAACUCUGGGACUGCUUUUGAAACUGUCAGA